GCCCAUCAGAAGGGGAUAACACUUGGAAACAGGUGCUAAUACCGUAUAACAAUCGAAACCGCAUGGUUUUGAUUUGAAAGGCGCUUUCGGGUGUCGCUGAUGGAUGGACCCGCGGUGCAUUAGCUAGUUGGUGAGGUAACGGCUCACCAAGGCCACGAUGCAUAGCCGACCUGAGAGGGUGAUCGGCCACAUUGGGACUGAGACACGGCCCAAACUCCUACGGGAGGCAGCAGUAGGGAAUCUUCGGCAAUGGACGAAAGUCUGACCGAGCAACGCCGCGUGAGUGAAGAAGGUUUUCGGAUCGUAAAACUCUGUUGUUAGAGAAGAACAAGGAUGAGAGUAACUGUUCAUCCCUUGACGGU
This 362-nucleotide ribosomal RNA is filed under the name Enterococcus faecium. Its description in RNAcentral is "bacterial SSU rRNA". It matches the Rfam family "Bacterial small subunit ribosomal RNA", at positions 128 to 476 of the family's 1533-position model. The record is from RNAcentral. Lineage: Bacteria; Bacillati; Bacillota; Bacilli; Lactobacillales; Enterococcaceae.